Lolium rigidum is the source of this 1633-nucleotide long non-coding RNA. RefSeq lists it as uncharacterized. The record is from RefSeq and is a predicted model, not a curated record. NCBI's taxonomy places the organism in Eukaryota, Viridiplantae, Streptophyta, Magnoliopsida, Poales, Poaceae. The transcript is spliced from 6 exons.
CCGGCAGUCGCCGGCGUACCGCACGCGAUCUCCCUCCACGACCCGCUCCUCCCCCUGGUCGGAAACCUCGCCUCCAUGGACCACCCAUCAGGCGCCUACCUCCUAAAGGUACUCCGUUGCAGAAGCACGGUGUGGGAAGUGACCUGCCUCUGAUGAAACCUGCAGCUGCUUGAUUUCUAUGUACUUUACUCCAAGUCAGCGGAUCACGUCUUGUGCGGGAGCAGUAGUAACUGCCGGUUCUUGUGCUAGCUCCUAUUUUACUGCAUCAAUCGUUAUGUGUUUAUACUUGGACAUAAACAUAGUGAUUGAUUCAACCAAUUGUGUGAGUAUCUCAGUCUACAAUUUCAUUUUGCAUUGUAGGAGCUUUGGACAGCCAGUGAUUGGUUUUUUCUACUGCACCACAAUUUAUUGGCUGUAGGCUGAAGAUUUCGAACUUCUCGAGGCUCAUCAUAUAGCCUAAACCUACAAGAUAUUGGUGUUGAAAAGUUGAAACAAAGGACCAGAGUUUUGCACCAAUGCUCCAACGCAGAAGCAAUAUGAGAGAAUGAAUAAUAGAAUCUCAUGCUCAUGGGACAAAGAUUAGGGAAGGAGUUCACACGACGGUCCACAAUUAAAGUAAGUACUUUUGAUACUUAUAUAACUAUUUCUAAUGCUCCACAUUUACAGGGUCCAAGCCUGGAAGUGCAAGUAGUCACUAUAAGUUAGGAAUGUAUGAACCAGAUUGAGUCAUUCUUGACAGUACUUAUGACCUCCUUCUGGUAUGUCUUUUUUCUUCUGGAAGCGAAGCAACACAGUUGAAUUUUUCUUCUAGGGCGCUAGCCAACUGCACCGAGUAAUUACUAAUGCAUCGUGUUUAGGUAAAGGAAUCACUUAGCUCUCACACAAACAAACUUGGCUUGUAUAAAUAUAUAUACCCUAAAGCUAGACACAAACAGACCAUUAAUUUGUACAAACCAAAUUGGUUUUGUGCAUGGUUGUAAAUGUUAUAACUGAUCUCUUAUACAUACUUUUGUCCCUGGUCCCCACUUUCUUUUCUGAUCUGUCUCUAGCUUCAUAUAGAUAAUGUGCCAAUUUGGUUGUGUUGUUUCUGAUUUAGAGAUGAUAACAUAUAUAUCUUAAUCUCAGUUUGAAUGCGGAUCAUCCAAGUCUAGGUAUGUAAGCACUGAGCUAAGAUAAGGCAAAUCCUAUGAUAAAAAUGUCACUUUAUGUGAAAUAGCAAUCAUUACAGGUAAGAAGUUCUAGAAACCUAAAUAUGAAAUAACAAUCCCCACAUUGCAUACAUACACCUUCUAUAAUAUUAAAGGUCCUUAGGUAGUUAGGUAUAUAUAAGAAUGGAAUUUAUUCAAUGGAUGAUCAGAUUCUUAGAAGAAUAAGAGCAAGUGUAUUAUGUUCUGUUCAUCUAGCAAAGACAGAGCAUAAUAUCAUCUUUAUCAAUUUGAACUUCCCAUGCACAUACUAAACACAUAAACAAUCUAUUUUUUUGAUGAAUAAAUUACGCCUAUGGAUAUUAAGCCUAGCAAAUGCGAAACAUGCAUGCUUUUUAGGUCUCGAAAACACAAUUGUGUCUUGUUCCUCUAAAAUCAGAUUCUUUCUUAAUUGAUUACUGUGUUACAUCACUUGCCCACAUUUUCUA